CCUCAGCGACGGACCGGG
This 18-nucleotide small nuclear RNA is filed under the name Arabidopsis thaliana (thale cress). Its description in RNAcentral is "snRNA_13823". The record is from RNAcentral. Lineage: Eukaryota; Viridiplantae; Streptophyta; Magnoliopsida; Brassicales; Brassicaceae.